This 790-nucleotide ribosomal RNA is filed under the name fungal endophyte. RNAcentral describes it as "eukaryotic LSU rRNA". The stretch from base 497 to 790 matches the Rfam family "Eukaryotic large subunit ribosomal RNA", at positions 1 to 297 of the family's 3401-position model. Lineage: Eukaryota; Fungi. The record is from RNAcentral.
CAUUAAAGAGUUCUAUAACUCCCAAACCCAUGUGAACAUACCUAACGUUGCCUCGGCAGGUCGCACCUACCUUGUAGCACCCUACCCUGUAGGGCCUACCCGGGAGGUGCGGGUAAGCCUGCCGGCGGCCCACCCAACUCUGUUUGAUAUUGAAUUCUGAACCUAUAACUAAAUAAGUUAAAACUUUCAACAACGGAUCUCUUGGUUCUGGCAUCGAUGAAGAACGCAGCGAAAUGCGAUAAGUAAUGUGAAUUGCAGAAUUCAGUGAAUCAUCGAAUCUUUGAACGCAUAUUGCGCCCAUUAGUAUUCUAGUGGGCAGGACCGUUCGAGCGUCAUUUCAACCCUUAAGCCUUCGUUGCUUAGUGUUGGGAGCCUACGGCAACGUAGCUCCUCAAAGUUAGUGGCGGAGUUGGUUCACACUCUAGACGUAGUAAUUUUUUAUCUCGCCUAUUAGUUGGACUAAUCCCCUGCCGUAAAACCCCCAAUUUAUCAAGGUUGACCUCGAAUCGGUUCAGACAAACUCGCUAAAUUGAAGCAUCUUAGUCAGCGAAGGAAAAGAAACCAACAGGGAUUGCCCUAGUAACGGCGAGUGAAGCGGCAACAGCUCAAAUUUGAAAUCUGGCCCUCGGGUCCGAGUUGUAAUUUGUAGAGGAUGCUUUUGGCGCGGUGCCUUCCGAGUUCCCUGGAACGGGACGCCUUAGAGGGUGAGAGCCCCGUACGGUUGGACACCAAGCCUCUGUAAAGCUCCUUCGACGAGUCGAGUAGCUUGGGAAUGCUGCUCUAAAUGGGA